Molecule: long non-coding RNA, 511 nt
Organism: Lates calcarifer (barramundi perch)
Lineage: Eukaryota; Metazoa; Chordata; Actinopteri; Centropomidae
Exons: 3
Source: RefSeq, a predicted model, not a curated record
AAGUGUCCCUGAAUGCAUCAUGAUGAUGUUUUCUGAUGUUUGGAUGUUUGCAGGCUCAUACAGUCUGGCCCCUGUGGAUAAAAUGGAAACACCACCGCCUUAACUUGUGUUAUUUAUAUUUUUAACUUUGUAAAUGCAGCCAGGGAGGAAUAUUUCAAUAUUUAACAAAGUUAUAACAACUUGAUUUAUUGGUUUAGGUAACAGGUGAGAUAUAAUCCUCACGUGGUUUUCUCCAAGUGGUGUUUCUGCUGUUGCUGUGAGUGCUGAUGGUGCAGAUGUAGAUCAGAUCAGUUUCACUGUCUGAAAGUAUCAGAGAACUACUGAUGUUGUAGAGCUGCUGCUCAGUCUGCUGGAUGCUGGUUUGGUUCUGGAGGGUCAGGUUGGAUGGAGGUCUGGUGGACCAGGUGAGAUCAGGUUCAGGGUAGAUCCCCUCUGAGCUGCAGAUGAUCCUGUUUCCUACCUGCUCCAUGUUGACUUUACUGACUGGAGCUGCAAGAAAAGAGGAUGUUGA